This 436-nucleotide ribosomal RNA is filed under the name uncultured bacterium. RNAcentral's name for it is "partial 16S ribosomal RNA". It matches the Rfam family "Bacterial small subunit ribosomal RNA", at positions 29 to 507 of the family's 1533-position model. The record is from RNAcentral.
AACGAACGCUGGCGGCAUGCCUAACACAUGCAAGUCGAACGAGACCCUCGGGGGUCGUGGCGCACACGGGUGUGAAGCGCGGGGACAUCCCCUUUGGUGUGCGAAAUAUCAGUUAGAGAUGACUGCAAACAGCGGAAGAUGACGGGACGAAAAAUGUUUUGUCGCCUGAGGAUGAGCCCGCGUAGGAUUAGCUAGUUGGUGUGGUAAAGGCGUACCAAGGCGACGAUCCGUAGCUGGUCUGAGAGGAUGAUCAGCCACACUGGGACUGAGACACGGCCCAGACUCCUACGGGAGGCAGCAGUGGGGAAUAUUGGACAAUGGGCGCAAGCCUGAUCCAGCAAUGCCGCGUGAGUGAUGAAGGCCUUAGGGUUGUAAAGCUCUUUUACCCGGGAUGAUAAUGACAGUACCGGGAGAAUAAGCCCCGGCUAACUCCGUG